Long non-coding RNA from Paramisgurnus dabryanus, 1208 nucleotides. RefSeq lists it as uncharacterized. NCBI's taxonomy places the organism in Eukaryota, Metazoa, Chordata, Actinopteri, Cypriniformes, Cobitidae. The record is from RefSeq and is a predicted model, not a curated record.
CUCAAAUCCCUCUCGCGUUAUUUUAACGUCAUCCGUUUGUACGUUCUUGCAACGCAGCAUUAUGUAGAACACCUUAUCAAAAAUGAUUGAGAUGGCCAAUCAAAUCAAAAAAAGGUGAGUGCCACUGGCCAAUCACAUAACAGAUGACGAGCUUUCCUCUGCUUUCCUGUUGACGCAAGCCGAGCGGUGGCCAAUCAAAUAAACCAAUAGGCGGGGUAACCGUUACAGGAGCAACGCUGCCUGCAGCCGGCCAUCAUAACGGACACAGAUUUCAAAGCGGGUGAAAGAUACUAGUUGCCAACCGCCAAUAAAAGUUAAAGAAGAAGAAAGAACAAGAUUACUAUGUGUCAGGUCUGUGUUCAUCAAGACUUGGAAGACUAUGGAGUAGGACAAAAAGGAUGAUGGGGUGUAUAUUCCAGUAGACACGUAAAACAUCAAGUGGGCUGCUGUAAUGUUUACGUCUAUGGAAAGAGGAGCUGAGAAGCAGUACUUCUUGUUGAGGACAAUCUUGAACACUUUCUCAUACACAUUUAUUAUUAUUAUUAGUGUUGGAUUGUUUUUGUUUCAAUUUUAUUAAUUGUAUUGUUUUAAUUUUUCGAUCGAUUUGAAAUUACCUCAGUUAGAUUCAUGCUAAUACUUUAACUGGAACUUGUAUCUUUCCGUAAAGCUGACUGUAGAGUUGGUUUCACAUACACAUGAAGUUGUAGUGUUUCUAAUUAACUUAACUAACUUUUAAGUUCAGUUUGGUUCAAACUUGUAUUUACCCAUGGUAAUUCAUUUAAAUUUUAAUUCAUGCUAAUAUGUUAAUUUCAAUGAAAAACUUCUGUAUUUGUGUAUAGCUGGUCAUUUGGGCAAACUAUGUUUCACACACCAGUGUAACUGUCACAAUGUUUUUUUAUUUUUUUUUUAUUAUUAGUUUGUUCUAAACUUCUGUUUGUUUACUAAGGAUUAAAUUGCUUUGUAAUUUAAGUUGUUGGUGUUAGAUUCAUGCCAAUAAUGUAUUUGAACAAACUAGUAUUUUUGUUUAUUGCUGGCAGUUUAUAUUAGAAUAGUUUUAACACAUACAAUGUGGAUGUCGUAGUGUUAUUGACUUGUGUUAUUGAUUAAUAAAAAUGGCAAAUAAUUUCAAAGUAAUUUUUUGUGUUAUUUAUUAAUAUAAUUUGGGCAAGAUCAGGCUGAGUUAUGGCUCAGUUUUGGAAGUUCUGGUU